CCUACGGGGGGCAGCAGUGGGGAAUAUUGGACAAUGGGGGGAACCCUGAUCCAGCCAUGCCGCGUGUGUGAAGAAGGCCCUCGGGUUGUAAAGCACUUUCAGUGAGGAAGAACGCCUGGUGGUUAAUACCCAUCAGGAAAGACAUCACUCACAGAAGAAGCACCGGCUAACUCCGUGCCAGCAGCCGCGGUAAUACGGAGGGUGCGAGCGUUAAUCGGAAUUACUGGGCGUAAAGCGCGCGUAGGUGGCUUGAUAAGCCGGUUGUGAAAGCCCCGGGCUCAACCUGGGAACGGCAUCCGGAACUGUCAAGCUAGAGUGCAGGAGAGGACGGUAGAAUUCCCGGUGUAGCGGUGAAAUGCGUAGAGAUCGGGAGGAAUACCAGUGGCGAAGGCGGCCUUCUGGACUGACACUGACACUGAGGUGCGAAAGCGUGGGUAGCAAACAGGAUUAGAUACCCCUGUAGUC
This 465-nucleotide ribosomal RNA is filed under the name Vreelandella stevensii. RNAcentral describes it as "partial 16S ribosomal RNA". It matches the Rfam family "Bacterial small subunit ribosomal RNA", at positions 338 to 795 of the family's 1533-position model. Lineage: Bacteria; Pseudomonadati; Pseudomonadota; Gammaproteobacteria; Oceanospirillales; Halomonadaceae. The record is from RNAcentral.